GGGGAUGAAUUAGCAUCGACGACGUUCAUUUCCUUUCUUGGCAAGCCGAGGUUGCGUGUGACCUCGUACCCACUCAUACGCAUAUGACAACUGCCAACGUCAUGACCAAGGUCCGCUCCGCGAUCGCUUCGGCUUUCACGGUGCCUUCCUUUGCUCCGUCCUUCGCCUAAGACCUUCGUGUCCUAGUUCGAACUGACGAGCCGGCUCCCGUCGCGUGCGUCUCAAGCCGACGACGAGCUGCCAUUCAUUGAGACUUAUUCUUAGAUACCGUUCCACAUCUAAGAAGACACGGCCGGAACUUACUCAGAAGAAGGCGUUUAUCCCCGCUCUUCUGAGGACACUCCUGGAUAAACUAAGCUUGUGAACGACGAGUCAGGAUUGCCCGCUCGGACGGGGGUGCGAUACCCCCCAUCUCCACCA
This 420-nucleotide transfer-messenger RNA is filed under the name Patescibacteria group bacterium. It matches the Rfam family "transfer-messenger RNA". From Rfam's summary of the family: Bacterial tmRNA, also known as 10Sa RNA or SsrA, is named for its dual tRNA and mRNA-like properties. The record is from RNAcentral.